Molecule: ribosomal RNA, 253 nt
Filed under: uncultured bacterium
Lineage: Bacteria
Description: partial 16S ribosomal RNA
Rfam family: Bacterial small subunit ribosomal RNA
Source: RNAcentral
UACAGAGGUCUCAAGCGUUGUUCGGAUUCAUUGGGCGUAAAGAGCUCGUAGGCGGCUUGUCGCGUCGACCGUGAAACCUCACAGCUCAACUGUGAGCCUGCGGUCGAUACGGGCAGGCUAGAGUUCGGUAGGGGAGACUGGAAUUCCUGGUGUAGCGGUGAAAUGCGCAGAUAUCAGGAGGAACACCGGUGGCGAAGGCGGGUCUCUGGGCCGAUACUGACGCUGAGGAGCGAAAGCGUGGGGAGCGAACAGG